UACGUAGGGUGCGAGCGUUAAUCGGAAUUACUGGGCGUAAAGCGUGCGCAGGCGGUGAUGUAAGACCGAUGUGAAAUCCCCGGGCUUAACCUGGGAACUGCAUUGGUGACUGCAUUGCUGGAGUAUGGCAGAGGGGGGUGGAAUUCCACGUGUAGCAGUGAAAUGCGUAGAGAUGUGGAGGAACACCGAUGGCGAAGGCAGCCAUCUGGACCGACACUGACGCUGAGGCGCGAAAGCGUGGGGAGCAAACAGG
RNAcentral lists this ribosomal RNA (253 nucleotides) under uncultured bacterium. Its description in RNAcentral is "partial 16S ribosomal RNA". It matches the Rfam family "Bacterial small subunit ribosomal RNA", at positions 524 to 776 of the family's 1533-position model. The record is from RNAcentral.